CAACUGAAUGAUCUCUCGGAUGCCCGUGAGGGCGUAACAGGGAAGUCCGGUGAAAAACCGGCGCGGUCCCGCCACUGUAAGUGGGAAGCGACCCCCGUUCAGGCCACUCGACUCAAAGGUCGGGGAAGGCUGGGGGAAGCGUUGAGGGUCUUACCUUCUGAACCCACAAGCCAGGAGACCUAUCCGAGGUGACAUGGCAUU
RNAcentral lists this non-coding RNA (201 nucleotides) under Nitrospira sp. Lineage: Bacteria; Pseudomonadati; Nitrospirota; Nitrospiria; Nitrospirales; Nitrospiraceae. The record is from RNAcentral.